Zeugodacus cucurbitae (melon fly) is the source of this 746-nucleotide long non-coding RNA. RefSeq lists it as uncharacterized. The record is from RefSeq and is a predicted model, not a curated record. NCBI's taxonomy places the organism in Eukaryota, Metazoa, Arthropoda, Insecta, Diptera, Tephritidae. The transcript is spliced from 3 exons.
GUUUGUCGGUAAAUAUUAAAGUAGUAAUGAAAUUCAACUCGUUAGAGCAAUAGAAAUAAGUUCAAUUGUAGAUAGUAUGAUAGCAGUGUCGGAUUCUCAAAUGACAUCGUUGCUUUCGUGUGUGUUGCACUUAUUUCAGAAACUAAACACAAACUUCAUCAUAAUUAAGACGUAUUUUUUCGUCAGCGGAAGCUAGUUUAUGUAUGGUUUUUCGUAUUCUCAAGGCAGGCAAUCGUACAUUUGGAUUUUGAUGCCAACAUUCCUUCAUUAACUUUGACAUGCCAGCAAAAAUGUACCGGAUCAGAAGCCCAGCGAUUGGGAAAGGACGGUCUAUAAUUAUCCACGCAUACAACUUUUCGCAUAUCCUCAAAACUGGGGUCCGAUGGGACAACAUCAUAAAAAGGCACUUUGUAUUCUUCUGCAAUGCCUCCUGAAAUAGUACGGCGACAUACUUCCCACAGUACUAACCCAAGUGCAUAAAUAUCAGUGCGUCGCAAUGCCUCAAAACAUUGCAUAUUAAUACUGUAAUAAAAUAUUUAGUUGUGAGUUAAGUGAUUAACGUUAUAGGGUGCGUUUAGAAGUAUACCUUUCUUCCAAAACUUCAGGUGACAUGUAACGUUUGGUGCCGACUUUAGGAUUAUUUCCUAAAUCUAAUUUUCCUGUAACAUGAGAGUGUGUAACAGCUAAUCCGAAAUCUGCUAUUACGCAAGUUCCAUCCGAUUUAACAAGUAUAUUCUUUGACUUUA